UAUGCGGGGUAGGGGAGCGUUCUGUAAGCCUGCGAAGGUGUGUUGAGAAGCAUGCUGGAGGUAUCAGAAGUGCGAAUGCUGACAUGAGUAACGACAAUGCGGGUGAAAAACCCGCACGCCGGAAGACCAAGGGUUCCUGCGCAACGCUAAUCGGCGCAGGGUGAGUCGGCCCCUAAGGCGAGACCGAAAGGUGUAGUCGAUGGGAAACGGGUUAAUAUUCCCGUACCUUGGAUAGCUGCGAUGGAGAGACGGAGAAGGCUAGGUGAGCCGGGCGACGGUUGUCCCGGUUUAAGCGAGUAGGGAGUGGACUUAGGCAAAUCCGGGUCCACAAUCUCGAGACGCGACG
This 346-nucleotide ribosomal RNA is filed under the name Pycnococcus provasolii. Its description in RNAcentral is "partial Bacterial large subunit ribosomal RNA". It matches the Rfam family "Bacterial large subunit ribosomal RNA", at positions 1220 to 1568 of the family's 2925-position model. Lineage: Eukaryota; Viridiplantae; Chlorophyta; Pseudoscourfieldiophyceae; Pseudoscourfieldiales; Pycnococcaceae. The record is from RNAcentral.